UGUGGGUGUCAAAUACGGUCGUGUGUGACAAGGGGAUUUGUUGCUCAGGUCCUGGACAUAGAACCCUGCUGGAAUCUUUCACCUAUUGGAAUGCCUCAAAGGUCCAAAAUGGUAGCCACUAGCACUUGAAAUGUGGAUAGUUCAAAUUGAGAUGAACUGUGAGUAUAAAAGACACAUUGCAUUUCGAAUGCUUAAUGCAAAAUAAAAUGUAGACUAUCUCAUUAACAA
Non-coding RNA from Vicugna pacos (alpaca), 228 nucleotides. NCBI's taxonomy places the organism in Eukaryota, Metazoa, Chordata, Mammalia, Artiodactyla, Camelidae. The record is from RefSeq and is a predicted model, not a curated record.